UGGGUCUGGCUGGCCGGUCAGCCUCACCGCGAGUACUGGUCCGGCUGGACCUUUCCUUCUGGGGAAUCUCAUGGCCUUCACUGGCUGUGGGGGGAACCAGGACUUUUACUGUGAAAAAAUUAGAGUGUUCAAAGCAGGCCUUUGCUCGAAUACAUUAGCAUGGAAUAAUAGAAUAGGACGUGCGGUUCUAUUUUGUUGGUUUCUAGGACCGCCGUAAUGAUUAAUAGGGAUAGUCGGGGGCGUCAGUAUUCAGCUGUCAGAGGUGAAAUUCUUGGAUUUGCUGAAGACUAACUACUGCGAAAGCAUUCGCCAAGGAUGUUUUCAUUAAUCAGGGAACGAAAGUUAGGGGAUCGAAGACGAUCAGAUACCGUCGUAGUCUUAACCAUAAACUAUGCCGACUAGGGAUCGGACGGUGUUUCUAUUAUGACCCGUUCGGCACCUUACGAG
Molecule: ribosomal RNA, 447 nt
Filed under: uncultured eukaryote
Lineage: Eukaryota
Description: SSU rRNA
Rfam family: Eukaryotic small subunit ribosomal RNA
Source: RNAcentral